GGGUUGUGAGGUUAAGCGACUAAGCGUACACGGUGGAUGCCCUGGCAGUCAGAGGCGAUGAAGGACGUGCUAAUCUGCGAUAAGCGUCGGUAAGGUGAUAUGAACCGUUAUAACCGGCGAUUUCCGAAUGGGGAAACCCAGUGUGUUUCGACACACUAUCAUUAACUGAAUCCAUAGGUUAAUGAGGCGAACCGGGGGAACUGAAACAUCUAAGUACCCCGAGGAAAAGAAAUCAACCGAGAUUCCCCCAGUAGCGGCGAGCGAACGGGGAGCAGCCCAGAGCCUGAAUCAGUGUGUGUGUUAGUGGAAGCGUCUGGAAAGGCGCGCGAUACAGGGUGACAGCCCCGUACACAAAAAUGCACAUGCUGUGAGCUCGAUGAGUAGGGCGGGACACGUGGUAUCCUGUCUGAAUAUGGGGGGACCAUCCUCCAAGGCUAAAUACUCCUGACUGACCGAUAGUGAACCAGUACCGUGAGGGAAAGGCGAAAAGAACCCCGGCGAGGGGAGUGAAAAAGAACCUGAAACCGUGUACGUACAAGCAGUGGGAGCACGCUUAGGCGUGUGACUGCGUACCUUUUGUAUAAUGGGUCAGCGACUUAUAUUCUGUAGCAAGGUUAACCGAAUAGGGGAGCCGAAGGGAAACCGAGUCUUAACUGGGCGUUAAGUUGCAGGGUAUAGACCCGAAACCCGGUGAUCUAGCCAUGGGCAGGUUGAAGGUUGGGUAACACUAACUGGAGGACCGAACCGACUAAUGUUGAAAAAUUAGCGGAUGACUUGUGGCUGGGGGUGAAAGGCCAAUCAAACCGGGAGAUAGCUGGUUCUCCCCGAAAGCUAUUUAGGUAGCGCCUCGUGAAUUCAUCUCCGGGGGUAGAGCACUGUUUCGGCAAGGGGGUCAUCCCGACUUACCAACCCGAUGCAAACUGCGAAUACCGGAGAAUGUUA
Molecule: ribosomal RNA, 942 nt
Filed under: Escherichia coli
Lineage: Bacteria; Pseudomonadati; Pseudomonadota; Gammaproteobacteria; Enterobacterales; Enterobacteriaceae
Description: partial 23S ribosomal RNA
Rfam family: Bacterial large subunit ribosomal RNA
Source: RNAcentral